RNAcentral lists this unclassified non-coding RNA (240 nucleotides) under soil metagenome. Its description in RNAcentral is "partial contains 5.8S ribosomal RNA, internal transcribed spacer 2, and large subunit ribosomal RNA". The record is from RNAcentral.
AACGCACGAGACCUGCGGACCUGCGGAGGAUCAUUACCGAGUUUACAACUCCCAAACCCAAUGUGAACGUUACCAAACUGUUGCCUCGGCGGGAUCUCUGCCCCGGGUGCGUCGCAGCCCCGGACCAAGGCGCCCGCCGGAGGACCAACCAAAACUCUUUUGUAUACCCCCUCGCGGGUUUUUAUAUCUGAGCCAUCUCGGCGCCUCUCGUAGGCGUUUCGAAAAUGAAUCAAAACUUUU